This 148-nucleotide non-coding RNA is filed under the name Micropruina glycogenica. Lineage: Bacteria; Bacillati; Actinomycetota; Actinomycetes; Propionibacteriales; Nocardioidaceae. The record is from RNAcentral.
CGAGUCUGCCAGACUGAAGGCCGCAGACAGCGGUGAGGAACACCGGUGAACCCCGAGCGGGGUGAAUCCGGGGCGGUCCCGCCACUGUGACCGGUCGGCUGAACGCAGUCCCGGAAGCCAGGAACUCGCCGUGUCUGCCGAGCGACGA